AUUGAACGCUGGCGGCAGGCCUAACACAUGCAAGUCGAACGGUAACAGGAAACAGCUUGCUGUUUCGCUGACGAGUGGCGGACGGGUGAGUAAUGUCUGGGAAACUGCCUGAUGGAGGGGGAUAACUACUGGAAACGGUAGCUAAUACCGCAUAACGUCGCAAGACCAAAGAGGGGGACCUUCGGGCCUCUUGCCAUCGGAUGUGCCCAGAUGGGAUUAGCUAGUAGGUGGGGUAACGGCUCACCUAGGCGACGAUCCCUAGCUGGUCUGAGAGGAUGACCAGCCACACUGGAACUGAGACACGGUCCAGACUCCUACGGGAGGCAGCAGUGGGGAAUAUUGCACAAUGGGCGCAAGCCUGAUGCAGCCAUGCCGCGUGUAUGAAGAAGGCCUUCGGGUUGUAAAGUACUUUCAGUGGGGAGGAAGGGAGUAAAGUUAAUACCUUUGCUCAUUGACGUUACCCGCAGAAGAAGCACCGGCUAACUCCGUG
This 490-nucleotide ribosomal RNA is filed under the name uncultured bacterium. Its description in RNAcentral is "partial 16S ribosomal RNA". It matches the Rfam family "Bacterial small subunit ribosomal RNA", at positions 30 to 507 of the family's 1533-position model. The record is from RNAcentral.